This 893-nucleotide small RNA is filed under the name uncultured Mycochaetophora. RNAcentral describes it as "eukaryotic LSU rRNA". The stretch from base 610 to 893 matches the Rfam family "Eukaryotic large subunit ribosomal RNA", at positions 1 to 281 of the family's 3401-position model. The record is from RNAcentral. Lineage: Eukaryota; Fungi; Ascomycota; Leotiomycetes; Helotiales.
CUUGGUCAUUUAGAGGAAGUAAAAGUCGUAACAAGGUUUCCGUAGGUGAACCUGCGGAAGGAUCAUUACUAGAGCAAAGGAUAGACAGCGCCCGCGGAGCUUGCUCCCUGGGGCUACCCUACUUCGGUAGGGUUUAGAGUCGUCGGGCCUCUCGCAGAAGCUCGGUCCUGAACUCCACCCUUGAAUAAAUUACCUUUGUUGCUUUGGCGGGCCGCCUCGUGCCAGCGGCUUCGGCUGUUGCGUGCCCGCCAGAGGACCACAACUCUUGUUUUUAGUGAUGUCUGAGUACUAUAUAAUAGUUAAAACUUUCAACAACGGAUCUCUUGGUUCUGGCAUCGAUGAAGAACGCAGCGAAAUGCGAUAAGUAAUGUGAAUUGCAGAAUUCAGUGAAUCAUCGAAUCUUUGAACGCACAUUGCGCCCUCUGGUAUUCCGGGGGGCAUGCCUGUUCGAGCGUCAUUAUAACCACUCAAGCUCUCGCUUGGUAUUGGGGUUCGCGGUCUCGCGGCCCCUAAAAUCAGUGGCGGUGCCUGUCGGCUCUACGCGUAGUAAUACUCCUCGCGAUUGAGUCCGGUAGGUUUACUUGCCAGCAACCCCUAAUUUUUACAGGUUGACCUCGGAUCAGGUAGGGAUACCCGCUGAACUUAAGCAUAUCAAUAAGCGGAGGAAAAGAAACCAACAGGGAUUACCUCAGUAACGGCGAGUGAAGCGGUAACAGCUCAAAUUUGAAAGCUGGCUCUUUUAGGGUCCGCGUUGUAAUUUGUAGAAGAUGCUUCGGGUGUAGCUCCGGUCUAAGUUCCUUGGAACAGGACGUCAUAGAGGGUGAGAAUCCCGUAUGUGACUGGGUGCUUUCGCUCAUGUGAAGCUCUUUCGACGAGUCGAGUUGUUUGGGAAU